RNAcentral lists this ribosomal RNA (349 nucleotides) under Nematoda environmental sample. RNAcentral describes it as "SSU rRNA". It matches the Rfam family "Eukaryotic small subunit ribosomal RNA", at positions 594 to 945 of the family's 1831-position model. The record is from RNAcentral. Lineage: Eukaryota; Metazoa; Nematoda.
AUAGCAUAUAUUAAAGUUGUUGCGUUUAAAAAGCUCGUAGUUGGAUCUGCGGCCUAGGAUAGCGGUCCCCCAAAUGGGUGGUCACUGCUUUUCCUGGCCUAAUAUCUCCGGUUUUCCCUUGCUGCUCUUCACUGAGUGGCUUGGGUGGCUGGAAAAUUUACUUUGAAAAAAUUAGAGUGCUUAAAGCAGGCGCAAGCCUGAAUAGUGGUGCAUGGAAUAAUGGAAUAGGACCUCGGUUCUAUUUUGUUGGUUUUCGGAGCUCGAGGUAAUGAUUAAGAGGGACAGACGGGGGCAUUAGUAUUGCGACGUUAGAGGUGAAAUUCUUGGAUCGUCGCAAGACUAACUACUG